ACGUAGGUGGCAAGCGUUAUCCGGAUUUACUGGGUGUAAAGGGCGCGUAGGCGGGCCUUUAAGUCGGAUGUGAAAUUCCCGGGCUUAACUCGGGCGGGUCAUUUGAAACUGCAAAUCUUGAGUACUGGAGAGGAUAGUGGAAUUCCUAGUGUAGCGGUAAAAUGCGUAGAUAUUAGGAAGAACACCAGUGGCGAAGGCGGCUAUCUGGACAGUAACUGACGCUGAGGCGCGAAAGCGUGGGGAGCAAACAG
RNAcentral lists this ribosomal RNA (251 nucleotides) under uncultured prokaryote. Its description in RNAcentral is "partial 16S rRNA". It matches the Rfam family "Bacterial small subunit ribosomal RNA", at positions 525 to 775 of the family's 1533-position model. The record is from RNAcentral.